Long non-coding RNA from Xenia sp. Carnegie-2017, 95 nucleotides. RefSeq lists it as uncharacterized. The transcript has 2 exons. NCBI's taxonomy places the organism in Eukaryota, Metazoa, Cnidaria, Anthozoa, Malacalcyonacea, Xeniidae. The record is from RefSeq and is a predicted model, not a curated record.
AGUACCUGAGUACUCAACGUGAUACAUUAGUACCUAAGUAGGUACUCAACGUGAUAAAUUAGUACCUAAGUAGGUACUCAACGUGAUAAAUUAAA